CGGGGUGUGGCGCAGCGGUUUAGCGCGCAUGGUUUGGGACCAUGAGGUCGGUGGUUCAAAUCCACUCACCCCGA
This 74-nucleotide transfer RNA is filed under the name Dehalococcoidia bacterium CG2_30_46_19. RNAcentral's name for it is "tRNA-Pro". It matches the Rfam family "tRNA". Rfam says of the family: Transfer RNA (tRNA) molecules are approximately 80 nucleotides in length. Their secondary structure includes four short double-helical elements and three loops (D, anti-codon, and T loops). RNAcentral also lists the same sequence under 2 other names. The record is from RNAcentral. Lineage: Bacteria; Bacillati; Chloroflexota; Dehalococcoidia.